AUUGAACGCUGGCGGAAUGCUUUACACAUGCAAGUCGAACGGUAGAGGGGGCAACCCUCGAGAGUGGCGAACGGGUGAGUAAUAUAUCGGAACGUGCCCAGUCGUGGGGAUAACGUAGCGAAAGUUACGCUAAUACCGCAUACGAUCUACGGAUGAAAGCGGGGGACCGUAAGGCCUCGCGCGAUCGGAGCGGCCGAUGUCAGAUUAGGUAGUUGGUGGGGUAAAGGCUCACCAAGCCGACGAUCUGUAGCUGGUCUGAGAGGACGACCAGCCACACUGGGACUGAGACACGGCCCAGACUCCUACGGGAGGCAGCAGUGGGGAAUUUUGGACAAUGGGCGCAAGCCUGAUCCAGCAAUGCCGCGUGCAGGAAGAAGGCCUUCGGGUUGUAAACUGCUUUUGUACGGAACGAAAAGGCUCUGGUUAAUACCUGGGGCUCAUGACGGUACCGUAAGAAUAAGCACCGGCUAACUACGUG
RNAcentral lists this ribosomal RNA (478 nucleotides) under uncultured bacterium. Its description in RNAcentral is "bacterial SSU rRNA". It matches the Rfam family "Bacterial small subunit ribosomal RNA", at positions 30 to 507 of the family's 1533-position model. The record is from RNAcentral.